RNAcentral lists this ribosomal RNA (244 nucleotides) under uncultured bacterium. RNAcentral describes it as "partial 16S ribosomal RNA". It matches the Rfam family "Bacterial small subunit ribosomal RNA", at positions 118 to 352 of the family's 1533-position model. The record is from RNAcentral.
UGAGGAACAUGACCUUCGGCGGGGGAUAGCCGGCCCAACGGCCGGGUAAUGCCGCGUACGACCUUUUGGGGACAUCCCCGACUGGUGAAAGCAGCAAUGCGCCGAUAGAGUGCCUCGCGGCCUAUCAGCUUAGUUGGGUGGGGUAACGCUCACCAAGGCAACGGACGGGUAGCUGGUCUGAGAGGAUGGCCAGCCACAGUUGGGACUGGAGACCACCGGCCCAGACCUCCGACGGGGAGNAGCG